RNAcentral lists this ribosomal RNA (372 nucleotides) under uncultured bacterium. RNAcentral's name for it is "bacterial SSU rRNA". It matches the Rfam family "Bacterial small subunit ribosomal RNA", at positions 525 to 896 of the family's 1533-position model. The record is from RNAcentral.
ACGUAGGUGGCGAGCGUUGUCCGGAAUUACUGGGUGUAAAGGGAGCGCAGGCGGGGACUUAAGUUGGAUGUGAAAUAUCCGGGCUCAACCCGGGGGGUGCAUCCAAAACUGGGACUCUUGAGUGAAGUAGAGGCAGGCGGAAUUCCUAGUGUAGCGGUGAAAUGCGUAGAUAUUAGGAGGAACACCAGUGGCGAAGGCGGCCUGCUGGGCUUUAACUGACGCUGAGGCUCGAAAGCGUGGGGAGCAAACAGGAUUAGAUACCCUGGUAGUCCACGCUGUAAACGAUGAUUACUAGGUGUGGGGGGACUGACCCCUUCCGUGCCGGAGUUAACACAAUAAGUAAUCCACCUGGGGAGUACGGCCGCAAGGUUG